UAGGGAAUCUUCGGCAAUGGGGGGAACCCUGACCGAGCAACGCCGCGUGAGUGAAGAAGGUUUUCGGAUCGUAAAGCUCUGUUGUUAAGGAAGAACGAGUGUGAGAAUGGAAAGUUCAUACUGUGACGGUACUUAACCAGAAAGGGACGGCUAACUACGUGCCAGCAGCCGCGGUAAUACGUAGGUCCCGAGCGUUGUCCGGAUUUAUUGGGCGUAAAGCGAGCGCAGGCGGUUAGAUAAGUCUGAAGUUAAAGGCAGUGGCUCAACCAUUGUAGGCUUUGGAAACUGUUUAGCUUGAGUGCGGAAGGGGGGAGUGGAAUUCCAUGUGUAGCAGUGAAAUGCGUAGAUAUAUGGAGGAACACCGGUGGCGAAAGCGGCUCUCUGGUCUGUAACUGACGCUGAGGCUCGAAAGCGUGGGGAGCGAACAGG
RNAcentral lists this ribosomal RNA (429 nucleotides) under Bacteroidota bacterium. RNAcentral's name for it is "Bacteroidetes bacterium partial 16S ribosomal RNA". It matches the Rfam family "Bacterial small subunit ribosomal RNA", at positions 355 to 776 of the family's 1533-position model. The record is from RNAcentral. Lineage: Bacteria; Pseudomonadati; Bacteroidota.